This 314-nucleotide ribosomal RNA is filed under the name Pseudo-nitzschia fraudulenta. Its description in RNAcentral is "partial Bacterial small subunit ribosomal RNA". It matches the Rfam family "Bacterial small subunit ribosomal RNA", at positions 1084 to 1399 of the family's 1533-position model. Lineage: Eukaryota; Bacillariophyta; Bacillariophyceae; Bacillariales; Bacillariaceae. The record is from RNAcentral.
GUCCCGCAACGAGCGCAACCCCUAUCUUUAGUUGCUACCAUUUAGUUGGGCACUCUAAAGAGACCGCCGGUGAUAAGCCGGAGGAAGGUGUGGAUGACGUCAAGUCCUCAUGGCCCUUACGGGUUGGGCUACACACGUGCUACAAUGGUAACUACAGAGGGCAGCGACUUAGCGAUAAGUAGCCAAUCCCAAAAAGUUAUCUCAGUUCGGAUUGGGGUCUGCAACUCGACCCCAUGAAGUCGGAGUCGCUAGUAAUCGCAGAUCAGCAACGCUGCGGUGAAUACGUUCCCGGGCCUUGUACACACCGCCCGUCA